AUGCGUCCUUCAUCACCAGAUCUGGAAGUUCAAAGCACCCAAGUGAAGAAGAGUACUGAGACAAAACGAUUAAGAGAACAAAGGGAUUCGGAGAAAGUUAUCUGUGAAAAGUUAAGAGAGGAAAAUAUGAGAAGUGAAUCUCAACAGUCAAGUACUUCUAACAAAAUAAGUAUCCUUGAUUCACGUGACACCACUAAGACCAUGUGCAAUGGGUAUGUUGAGUUUGAACUCAACAUGCAAAAUCUCCUCCAAUGGGUGUUGAGAGAGGUGUUGAGUGUGUGUUGGAAGAGAGAGGUGUUGAGAAAACUCAACACAAUUGAAGCUGCCACGUGGCUGUGCUUGAUUGGCUGA
Molecule: non-coding RNA, 351 nt
Organism: Vicia faba (fava bean)
Lineage: Eukaryota; Viridiplantae; Streptophyta; Magnoliopsida; Fabales; Fabaceae
Source: the annotation of a GenBank genome assembly